Molecule: ribosomal RNA, 421 nt
Filed under: Bryconamericus caquetae
Lineage: Eukaryota; Metazoa; Chordata; Actinopteri; Characiformes; Stevardiidae
Description: partial 12S ribosomal RNA
Rfam family: Bacterial small subunit ribosomal RNA
Source: RNAcentral
GGGAUUAGAUACCCCACUAUGCUUAGCCUUAAACCCAGAUGUUAAAUUUACAAGCAACAUCCGCCAGGGUACUACAAGCGCUAGCUUAAAACCCAAAGGACUUGACGGUGUCUCAGACCCACCUAGAGGAGCCUGUUCUAGAACCGAUAAUCCCCGUUAAACCUCACCACCCCUUGUUUUCCCCGCCUAUAUACCGCCGUCGCAAGCUUACCCUGUGAAGGUCUCAUAGUAAGCAAAAUGGGUAAAUCCCAAAACGUCAGGUCGAGGUGUAGCUUACGAGGUGGGAAGAAAUGGGCUACAUUUUCUAUAUUAGAAUAAUACGAACAGCACCAUGAAAUUCGUGCUCGAAGGUGGAUUUAGUAGUAAAAAAUAAAUAGAGAGUCUUUUUGAACCAGGCUCUGAGACGCGCACACACCGCCCC